UACGUAGGGGGCAAGCGUUGUCCGGAAUCAUUGGGCGUAAAGAGCGUGUAGGCGGCCUGAUAAGUCGGCUGUGAAAGUCAAGGGCUCAACCCUUGAAUGCCGGCCGAUACUGUCAGGCUAGAGUCCGGAAGAGGCGGGUGGAAUUCCUGGUGUAGCGGUGAAAUGCGCAGAUAUCAGGAGGAACACCUAUGGCGAAGGCAGCUCGCUGGGACGGUACUGACGCUGAGACGCGAAAGCGUGGGGAGCGAACAGG
Molecule: ribosomal RNA, 253 nt
Filed under: uncultured bacterium
Lineage: Bacteria
Description: partial 16S ribosomal RNA
Rfam family: Bacterial small subunit ribosomal RNA
Source: RNAcentral